Molecule: ribosomal RNA, 208 nt
Filed under: uncultured bacterium
Lineage: Bacteria
Description: partial 16S ribosomal RNA
Rfam family: Bacterial small subunit ribosomal RNA
Source: RNAcentral
UGCGUAGGUGGUAGUGUAUGUUGGAAGUGUAAUCCCUCGGGCUUAACUCAGGGGCUGCUUCCAAAACUACAUUGCUUGAGUAUCGGAGAGGAAAACGGAAUUCCUAGUGUAGCGGUGAAAUGCGUAGAUAUUAGGAGGAACACCAGAGGCGAAGGCGGUUUUCUGGACGAUAACUGACACUGAGGCACGAAAGCGUGGGGAGCGAUUG